GUUUGGUGAAAAAGCAUUUCACUGUAAAUCCUUCAUGGAAGAGGAGACUCUCAUUCAUACACAUUCAGCUCAUUUAGGGUUCUGGAGACUCAACCGGAGACAGCAAAGUCUCUGCAAUGAGGAGACAUAUCAUUGGGGAGCAAGAAGGGGGCAUUAGAAUAAGAAGGAGAGGGCAAGGCAUGAUGAGACAUAAAUAAUGAUAGUGCUUAAGAACUGUUCUGGAGACAGCCGGGCAGCAGAGUUCAUCGGUGUUAAAAGGACUGAACGGCCAUCCUUUUUUGCGUGAGAAAAAAGUCCAGAACAGACCAUGGGAGGCACACAGUACUACACAGAGCCAUGACUACAACAGAUAAAAGAGCGGGGACUGUGAAGACACACACACACAGAUUUGUGAAGAUUGGGUACGCACUAGCACAGCAGUCAACAUGCCCCUUUCCAAAAGUGAUCACCCCUAUAUGAGGCCGUUUCUGAAGGAGAAAGUCAUUAAUGGAGGUGCCAUCCCUGGAUUCCACCAGCUACAGGAAAAGCUACAGGAAACGUCUACCUGAAGGUGUGUGGACAAAGUACACCAGAAUCUGUAGAGAAACUCCAUGAGAUGCUACAAGACCAAGAGCUGGUUCAGUCGCUGCAGAUUCAGCUGAACAUCAUGGCAGGAAAGUGCAAAGUCAUCCUGCAACUUCUCGACAUCUUCCAGAGCAGACGCCCAGUGACAACAAAGAUCUUUCACUAUUUAGAGGACUUGCAGAUGAACAUUGCAGCCAACAAAGAACUACAGUAUGAGGCAUGUUCACACUAGUUUGACACAGUUGAUGACUUGCCCUCUGCUGUGAAAACAAAAAUCUUGAGCACUGUUGAAGAGGAAUACAGCAAGAGGAAAAACUUACAAUGUACAUGUCAGAUGAACAGCCUGCCAUGGAGUUCCUCUAAGAAGUUAGGGUGUUUGAUCCACAUCACAUUGCAUUUAAGGAUGACAGAGUGUCCAGCUACAAGGCUAUUACAGGCUUCAGUAAGGUACCGAGAGAUGAACUGGAUGCCUACCUGACCAAUGUAGGACCAGCAGCACUGAGAGCCAUAGUGGGGUGGUGGAUUUGGAUAUCUUCCGGGAUGGACAUCAAGAGAGACUUCCUGUGCUGAGCACACUGGCCAAACGCUACAAAGAUGCAGUGCGAAGCAUCAGUAUCUACAAGCUUGUGUUGUCCAGCCGUAGGCGAUCGACAUCUAAC
Molecule: long non-coding RNA, 1223 nt
Filed under: Salmo salar (Atlantic salmon)
Lineage: Eukaryota; Metazoa; Chordata; Actinopteri; Salmoniformes; Salmonidae
Description: lncRNA (ENSSSAG00000114066.1)
Source: RNAcentral